Molecule: long non-coding RNA, 250 nt
Filed under: Gossypium raimondii (Peruvian cotton)
Lineage: Eukaryota; Viridiplantae; Streptophyta; Magnoliopsida; Malvales; Malvaceae
Description: long non-coding RNA (GRAI_LNC006832)
Source: RNAcentral
AAAAUAUCCCUAAAAACCACCUUAGAUGCAAACUCCUCAUCAGUUAGUUCCCUUGCAGGAGAAGGUAGAGGCCGAUCAGUAACGGCCUUGCAACCUUUAGAAGAAAAUACGUAGCAAGCAGCAUCGCCAUGUGGUGGAUAGAUAUAAGAACAAGCUAGAAAAAGGCUGACUAACGAAACGAAGAAAAUAAUCCAUACGGGCCUCUUCAAAGCAGGGCGGUGGCUAGACCCUGGCAACAUCUGCAUAUCAC